GAUGUAAGAACAGAGCUGCCUCCUUCUCUGUGUCCUCAGAGGCUUUCUGCUCCUGUUGUAGCAGAGCCAGCCCUGUGAAGAAUCUGAGAACAUGAAGGCAACACAGCUGCUCUUGUAAGUGACACAGAAAAGGAAAUGCAAGAUUUCACCUCUUCAAGUCAAUACCUGAGCUCCAGUUUGAACAAAAGGUUGCUUUUAGGUUUCUAAAACCUAAAAGCAGGUAUUACUAAAUCUACAGACGCACUAGAAAGUCUGCUUUUACUACAAACAACACUUCCAUGUCCUGACCUGAGGGCAGGAUGCAGCGGGCGCAGUGCCAGGGUGCUCUGGAGCGGAGGCUGUACUCGCAGCUGUCAGGACUCAGAGACCAGGCAUCCAGGUACUUCAUCAGGGCCCGGUGGACACAGCUCUCUUCAUCCCUCACGGCUGCUCUGCUGUCCUGCAACAAGAGGCGAGGCAGUAACACUUCAUCUGCAAAUAAUUGGUGCUUUUAUCCCAACAGCAUAGAACAAUACAAGCAAUUUACAAAAAGGAUGUCAGUACCUCCUAUCAAGUCAGUCAUACUGCGCUCCUACUACACUACUUAUGGCACGGUUACCUUGCCAGAUUUCUUGGAGAGCCAGAUGUAGAGAGUCUGAACAUAGUCUGCUCUGCUGGACUGUCCCUGCUCUCUGAGCUGCUGAUACUCUUUAUCCAAGGCCUGCAGCUGCUUCUCCACCGUGGGCGUGCCGAGGAAACCAUGGAGCUUGCACACAGCCAGGAUGUCAUCCUGACGGGCCGUUGAUUUGGCAUCGCUUGAUUCAUCUCCGUCUCUGUCAGCCUGGAUAUGAACAGCUGCACAAUUCACUGUUCUCAAACUCCGGAUCCUUUAAGGCCACCCUUGAUCGCUGAUGCAUAGUGGACAGCAUCCUGCUGCAGGCCAUGCAGAGGAGACUGAUCCUGUCACUGCAACACAUCGCCUGUGGAAAUGUGCGAAACAAACACUAAGAUCUAUACGCACGUCAGACUACAGGAUCAGAGAGUAUUUGCAUAUAUUUGUGAGAUGAUUAGCAUAAAUAUAGACCUGGAAAACAGCAUUUCACUGACUGUAUUACCUGCUUUGUAUUACAGGUUUGAAUUUACUUUACUUUAUAAACCCUUCAUAUACUGUAUCAUGCCUGUCAUGCAUAAAAGAAACCCUGACAUUGAAAUUGAGGCUUAUUAAAUAGUGGAAAUAACUUUCUAAUUUAGUGAAUCAAUGAACAGCAGCGAUGCAAACCUGGUGGGGAGGUUUUGCUCAAAAAACUCAAGGCUGGAAAGCCGGCAACAAAUUAAUUAUUGAGUGUUUAGUAUUGAUAAAUACUAAACAAACCUUUAAAAUCUCACUACUGCACUUUUAACUGUAUGAAAAUGUAAGAAAAACAAACUAUGUGCCUGCCACAAAAGGCCCAGAGUCAUUUAAGAUACUUGAUAUUUGGUAAAAUAAAUAAAAUAAGAUGACAAACUGAAUUAGGCCGCAGACACCACAUGACAGACGCUGUGGA
Molecule: long non-coding RNA, 1523 nt
Organism: Cottoperca gobio
Lineage: Eukaryota; Metazoa; Chordata; Actinopteri; Perciformes; Bovichtidae
Exons: 3
Source: RefSeq, a predicted model, not a curated record